UCACUGGGUAUGUAAUGACAGU
RNAcentral lists this microRNA (22 nucleotides) under Bombyx mori (domestic silkworm). The record is from RNAcentral. Lineage: Eukaryota; Metazoa; Arthropoda; Insecta; Lepidoptera; Bombycidae.